RNAcentral lists this ribosomal RNA (245 nucleotides) under uncultured bacterium. RNAcentral's name for it is "partial 16S ribosomal RNA". It matches the Rfam family "Bacterial small subunit ribosomal RNA", at positions 88 to 334 of the family's 1533-position model. The record is from RNAcentral.
AUGGCGACCGGCGCACGGGUGAGUAACGCGUAUGCAACCUGCCCGAUACCGGGGUAUAGCCCAUGGAAACGUGGAUUAACACCCCAUAGUACUUUUAUCCUGCAUGGGAUGUGAGUUAAAUGUUUAAGGUAUCGGAUGGGCAUGCGUCCUAUUAGUUAGUUGGCGGGGUAACAGCCCACCAAGACGAUGAUAGGUAGGGGUUCUGAGAGGAAGGUCCCCCACAUUGGAACUGAGACACGGUCCAA